RNAcentral lists this ribosomal RNA (915 nucleotides) under uncultured bacterium. Its description in RNAcentral is "bacterial SSU rRNA". It matches the Rfam family "Bacterial small subunit ribosomal RNA", at positions 8 to 917 of the family's 1533-position model. The record is from RNAcentral.
AGAGUUUGAUCCUGGCUCAGAUUGAACGCUGGCGGCAGGCUUAACACAUGCAAGUCGAGCGGGGAAGGUUGCUUUGGUAACUGACCUAGCGGCGGACGGGUGAGUAAUGCUUAGGAAUCUGCCUAUUAGUGGGGGACAACAUUCCGAAAGGAAUGCUAAUACCGCAUACGCCCUACGGGGGAAAGCAGGGGAUCUUCGGACCUUGCGCUAAUAGAUGAGCCUAAGUCGGAUUAGCUAGUUGGUGGGGUAAAGGCCUACCAAGGCGACGAUCUGUAGCGGGUCUGAGAGGAUGAUCCGCCACACUGGGACUGAGACACGGCCCAGACUCCUACGGGAGGCAGCAGUGGGGAAUAUUGGACAAUGGGCGGAAGCCUGAUCCAGCCAUGCCGCGUGUGUGAAGAAGGCCUUUUGGUUGUAAAGCACUUUAAGCGAGGAGGAGGCUCCUUUAGUUAAUACCUAAAGAGAGUGGACGUUACUCGCAGAAUAAGCACCGGCUAACUCUGUGCCAGCAGCCGCGGUAAUACAGAGGGUGCGAGCGUUAAUCGGAUUUACUGGGCGUAAAGCGUGCGUAGGCGGCUUUUUAAGUCGGAUGUGAAAUCCCUGAGCUUAACUUAGGAAUUGCAUUCGAUACUGGGGAGCUAGAGUAUGGGAGAGGAUGGUAGAAUUCCAGGUGUAGCGGUGAAAUGCGUAGAGAUCUGGAGGAAUACCGAUGGCGAAAGCAGCCAUCUGGCCUAAUACUGACGCUGAGGUACGAAAGCAUGGGGAGCAAACAGGAUUAGAUACCCUGGUAGUCCAUGCCGUAAACGAUGUCUACUAGCCGUUGGGGCCUUUGAGGCUUUAGUGGCGCAGCUAACGCGAUAAGUAGACCGCCUGGGGAGUACGGUCGCAAGACUAAAACUCAAAGGAAUUGACGGG